CUACGGGUUGCUGCAGUGGGGAAUAUUGCACAAUGGGCGCAAGCCUGAUGCAGCCAUGCCGCGUGUAUGAAGAAGGCCUUCGGGUUGUAAAGUACUUUCAGCGGGGAGGAAGGGAGUAAAGUUAAUACCUUUGCUCAUUGACGUUACCCGCAGAAGAAGCACCGGCUAACUCCGUGCCAGCAGCCGCGGUAAUACGGAGGGUGCAAGCGUUAAUCGGAAUGAACUGGGCGUAAAGCGCACGCAGGCGGUUUGUUAAGUCAGAUGUGAAAUCCCCGGGCUCAACCUGGGAACUGCAUCUGAUACUGGCAAGCUUGAGUCUCGUAGAGGGGGGUAGAAGUCCAGGUGUAGCGGUGAAAUGCGUAGAGAUCUGGAGGAAUACCGGUGGCGAAGGCGGCCCCCUGGACGAAGACUGACGCUCAGGUGCGAAAGCGUGGGGAGCAAACAGGAUUAGAUACCCUAGUAGUC
This 465-nucleotide ribosomal RNA is filed under the name uncultured bacterium. RNAcentral describes it as "partial 16S ribosomal RNA". It matches the Rfam family "Bacterial small subunit ribosomal RNA", at positions 339 to 795 of the family's 1533-position model. The record is from RNAcentral.